Molecule: long non-coding RNA, 1079 nt
Filed under: Numida meleagris (helmeted guineafowl)
Lineage: Eukaryota; Metazoa; Chordata; Aves; Galliformes; Numididae
Description: lncRNA (ENSNMEG00000001460.1)
Source: RNAcentral
UCAGGUAGCAAUUCAGUGUUCUUGAGGAGAGUGAGACAAGCAUAUAGAGACCUGGAGUGACAUAUCCUGCAGGAAAAUCUGCUCUUACUUUAAAUGGUUUGGUUGUCACUACUCUAGUCUCUGGUGCUUGAAAUUUCUCAUUAAUUUUGCUUCUUUGUGAUGCUUUUAUUGCAGGUGCUAAAGGAAAUGGAGAUUGCUGGAAGCUGCACAGUUCAGUGGACUUAAAAGGAGAAAAGGGAAACAGAGGUGCUCCAGGACCACCAGGUCCACCUCUGCCUCCAUCAUAUUUCAGCCACUUUAUUAAUAGCAUAAAGGGUGAAAAAGGAGACAGUGGCAUAAAAGGAGAAAAAGGAGAACCAAAUGGAGGUUUUUACCUGACAGGACCACCUGGACCACCUGGAAGACCAGGAUUAGUUGUAAGAUACACAAGUUGUAUAACGUAAAUAUUUGUGAAUACACAUUGUUUUAACCUAGAGGGCACUAAUAAGAGACAAGCAUCAAGAUGAUAUUAAGAACUAUGUACAUACUUAUAUGCUAACCAUUAGCUCAAUAAGACAAAGUUCCAUUAGGCAUAAACACAGAAACUUCACUACUGUGAAUUGAAUUAAUUUGCUUUGAGAAACUGAUGCAGUGCUAUGCUCAGCUGCCUAACACAGCUAUAUCAGUAUGUAGAUUCAUGCUAUCAAUAGCAAUACAAAUCAAGGGAACAUAUGUAACUAUGCAAGAACUAUCAGAAAGCUUUCUUAUCUGAAACUUCAUUUUUUUGAAUUUAGUUUAACGUAUGGGUAAUUUUUUCAGUUUCCAUGGCUCUUUGAAAAAAAAUGCUUACAACUUAGAAAAAGUGGUGUGGUUGCCUGCCAUCAGAAAAUAUUGCCAUCAGAGAUGAAGGACCUGCAGCAGUGACAUCAUCACAGAUGGAAACUACAGCAGUAUACAUUUCAAUCAUAAGAGAAGCAUGAAGAUACUUAUUGAUAUAAAAUAGAUAUAAUAUAGUAAUUUAAACAAUGAAGACAGUGACUUUAACAAGGUUUAAAAUGGCUAGAUACUGUUGACAAUUUGCUACAUAGAAGAUGGGGUUG